GGAGGCGUUCUAGAGGCAAUCCAGAUUCAAGAGAAUUUUUGUGUUUAGUGGGAGCAGUCUGGUUAUCAAAGAACAUUUAAUAUUUUUGUACAUAGGGAGAGGGAAUUUCAGUAGCAAGAUGAUCGAUUUAGCUAUGAAGACCACCUCAAACUCUUCGUCGACAACUCUAGAUCGAUCAAGACCAAGCUUACAUCUUGAUGCUUCAUGAGCAAGCAGCUUCUGUAGUUACUUAAAGAAUGCUAGCUACAUAUACUUUGACUCCAACUACUUGAAGUUUGACAAGUUCGAUGAUCUUUGCCCGCUUGCACUUGUUAAAGAGGUACAACAUCAAUGUCUUCUAUUUUGGUUACCUAUGUAACAUGACCCAUUUACAUUGAUAUUAUAAGAAAAUGUUUGUUUGUUGCGGUGCUGUUUGUUAUUGUAAGGCAUUGUGACUUAAUCCUUGACA
Long non-coding RNA from Rosa chinensis, 448 nucleotides. RefSeq lists it as uncharacterized. The transcript is spliced from 3 exons. NCBI's taxonomy places the organism in Eukaryota, Viridiplantae, Streptophyta, Magnoliopsida, Rosales, Rosaceae. The record is from RefSeq and is a predicted model, not a curated record.